GUCUUUUUGAAUUUAAAUAUAAAGUCUAAUCUGCCCACUGAUAAAUUAUUUAAUGGCCGCAGUAUUUUAACUGUGCAAAGGUAGCAUAAUAAUUAGUUUUUUAAUUGAAGGCUUGUAUGAAUGAUUGGACGAGAUAUAAACUGUCUCAUAAAAAUUUUUUUAGAAUUUAAUUUUUUAGUUAAAAAGCUAAAAUAAAUUUAAAAGACGAGAAGACCCCAUAGAUCUUUAUAUUUUUUUUUAUUAUUAUUUUUUAGUUUUUUUAUAAAUUAAUAAAUAAAAAUAUUUUGUUGGGGUGACAUUGAAAUUUAAUAAACUUUCAAAAUUUAAUAACAUUAAUUUAUGAAUUUAUGAUCCUUUAUUAUUGAUUAAAAAUUUAAGUUACCUUGGGGAUAACAGCGUAAUUAUUUUGGAGAGUUCAUAUUGAUAAAAUAGAUUGCGACCUCGAUGUUGGAUUAAGAUUAAUUUUGGAUGCAGCAGUUCAAAUUAUUAAGUCUGUUCGACUUUUAAUUUCUU
RNAcentral lists this ribosomal RNA (513 nucleotides) under Campsicnemus distinctus. RNAcentral describes it as "partial 16S ribosomal RNA". The stretch from base 389 to 513 matches the Rfam family "Bacterial large subunit ribosomal RNA", at positions 2473 to 2597 of the family's 2925-position model. Lineage: Eukaryota; Metazoa; Arthropoda; Insecta; Diptera; Dolichopodidae. The record is from RNAcentral.